UACCGGCGGCCCGAGUGGCGGGCCCUAUUAUUGGGCUUAAAGCGUCCGUAGCAGGGUUGGUAAGUCUCCCGGGAAAUCUGGCCGCUUAACGGUCAGAAUUCCGGGAGAUACUGCCAGCCUAGGGACCGGGAGAGGCCGAGGGUAUUCCCGGAGUAGGGGUGAAAUCCUAUAAUCCCGGGAGGACCACUUGUGGCGAAGGCGAUCGGCUGGAACGGGUCCGACGGUGAGGGACGAAGGCCAGGGGAGCAAACCGG
This 254-nucleotide ribosomal RNA is filed under the name uncultured archaeon. RNAcentral's name for it is "partial 16S ribosomal RNA". It matches the Rfam family "Archaeal small subunit ribosomal RNA", at positions 474 to 727 of the family's 1478-position model. The record is from RNAcentral.